Pangasianodon hypophthalmus (striped catfish) is the source of this 1888-nucleotide long non-coding RNA. RefSeq lists it as uncharacterized. The record is from RefSeq and is a predicted model, not a curated record. The transcript has 4 exons. Lineage: Eukaryota; Metazoa; Chordata; Actinopteri; Siluriformes; Pangasiidae.
UCGUAGAUGAGGUCCCUAGCAAGAGACAAAGAACUGAGGAUACACGUGAUGCAGUGUCUGCUAAACGGGUUGUAACAAAGCUUGAUUCUCAUGAGUUUCUAAACACUUUUUUCAAUCUGAGUCUCUAGAAAAGCUGUUUAUCACCAUGUUUUGCAUUCUCAUGGUUUUGUUUUUUAUUAGUUGAUUGAAGCUGUGCUAAGAGGCAAGUCCGGUGGUGAAGAAGUACUACAGGAGUACCAAACAACACAAACCCUAACAGAUGCCUCAAGAAGACAAAUGGUUAACGUACUGGUGGCUCACACGGUUGAUAAUCAUGGAAGAUGAGAGUGACCUUUCAGCACCAUCAGAAGCUUGUUAAUGACCCAGGCAGAAGUGUUGAUAUCCUCUCCACCUUCCCAAGAUUCCUGGAUACAAAAGGAUUGGUGAAUCACUCUCCUAUUUGAUGAAGAAACAUCCUCCGGGCUGCUUCAGGAAUGGGAUGUGUUCUUCAAGCCAAAUGUCAUGAAAGAGGCUAAGCGGCUCAGUUCAACACCAGAGUUGCGUUGCUUGGUGCAGUCAGCAGAAAGUCCCCCGGGAAGUGAUCUUGAUGAGGCAACAAGUGAUCUGUAUAUGUUUUGCUUGUUUUAAAGCAUAUGAUAUAAUUGCAGUUACAGUUGCUUCAUGACUAUAUGAUUAAAAUUAGGAAACAAGAGCACUUGUGAGAGUCUUACUAGAUUUAAUUUGUUUAUUCUGUGUAUCUCUGAAAGUUGACCUGAUUUUUGGGAUAAAUAUGAACAAUAGAUGGAUGACUGUUAUCUCAUAAUGCCUCCCUGUUCGUAUUCAACCUUGAAAAGUAUUUAAUUUGAAGUGUUUUUAGUUAAUUAUUGUGACUCUUUGUCCUCAUCCUAUGACCAAGAAAUAGCCUCCCUGUUGUUGCUGAUACAUCUCCUUUCACCACCACCAGGGGGACUGAAGUCUCCAAAAAUUAGUGUAUGUGAUGCAGUUGAGAGAUUUGUAGUCUUUCAUAAGUCAUGCUGCAGUUUGGAGGAGCAUCUCUGCAACCAGCAGGGUCGGCAGCCAUACCUCCUCACUGUUGGGCGUCAGAAGAGCAGGAUUGACAGCUUCUACAUCACCAUGGAUAAGCAUCUCAUCCCAUGGCAGGCAAACCGCUCCCUUGGGGCAUUUGAUGAACUUUUCAAAGCACAUUUUGUGUUUGUCUUAUGAUGUCUCAUUGGUGAAUUUUUACACAUUCAUGCAUACAGCAGUGUAUAACAUUGAUGUGGGGAAAAUGAAGGAGUCACCCAGAGUUAGAGACUCGAGGGCCACACUGGUUAACCAGCCAGUAGCACACUCACUGUGUGAGUAAGAGGCUAAAACAAUGCUGACCUGUUUCAUGUGUCAGAAACUGUAUCCCAGCAGUGAUGAACAUGGUCACUAUCCUGGACCCAAGUUUAAAUUGUUUUGUUCUCAGCAAGGCUGUAGGCAUCUGUUCCUAACACAUGCAGGUUUUGAAGUGAAGUGAAGUGUGGCCAAGUAUGGUGACCCAUACUAGGAAUUUGUGCUCUGCAUUCUAGUCAUUCACUCCCCCCACCCCCAAUCCCUGCCGGACCUGAGACUCAAACCCACAACCUUCAGGUUCACCUUCGGGUUGCAAGUCCGACUCUCUAUCCAUUAGGCCACAACUGCACCUUCAGAAGCACCUUAAUAGUGUUCACAGCAAUGUUCAACAAAUUGCUCAAACUUCAACUCUUGCAUGUUCCUCUAGUGAGCCAGUUGCCACGCACAUGCUUUGGAGCUUAAAUUUCAUAAACCGUUUGAUAUUCAAAGUUCAUACAGUGUUUCAGAUGAAUGUUUGUACAUUAUACCUUCAGUCACAAUGUUUCAACUGUAUGAAUGACUGCAAAGGUAA